CCGAAAUGCUGACUACUGGGCUGGUGAUACCUUCGGGGACAAAACAUUCACCAGCAGUGGCAUCGACCCAGUGGUGUAAAUAGUUAUCAAUAGAUUAAUUUCCAAUAAAUGCAGGGUGUUGAUUUGCUACCCUAACAAUCCAAAAGUUUCAUAAAUAAUGACAAUGCUAUAAUAUAUAUGCCGUGAAUAUAUAUGUAAACCUCAGAUCUGUGUACGACUUCAAAUCUGUGUCCGUUUUUCAAAUCUAUGCCCCAUCGUGACGUCAAUCGCUAAUCUAUGUCCGUAAAAAAUGAUUCUACCUCAAAUCUGUGUCCGAUUUUUAAUCGCAACGUCAUUCGCAAAUCUGUGUCCGUAAUAAGAAAGAUAAGGUCUCAAAUCAGUGUUAUGUUUUAAAUUUUUUUGCAAUUUGUUUCGCCAUGCGCAAAUUUAUGCCCGUCUAAUAAGUUCGGCUUUAUAGGUUUUUUUAUUUUAUUAAGUAAUUUCUCAUAAUUCAAUAUUAAGUUGGUAUGUGUUAUCCAUGUAUGUGCAAGAGCCGAAGUAUAGUAUACGUUUAAGAAAAUCCAGCUAAAUUAUUUAGCUGGUAUUUAUGAUAUUGUUUCAAGAACAGUCGUAUAUGCUUUUGUUUUAUUAAGUCUUUCUUCAUGUAUGUGGUUAAAAUCUUUACAUAUGAUGCGUGUGUUAUUAUUGUAUAUAAAAAAGAAGAUGUGGUAUGUAUUCCGUCUUUAAGAAUGAAACCACAAAACCAUAUUAAUUUUACUCAAAAAGACAGUAAAGAAUGAAUAUUUGUUUGCAACAUCAACUUACUUCGUUUUGUCUUUGAAUUUGUUCAUAUCGCUGUUUCAUUGACAUUUAUACCACUUUAUCUAUGUUUUUUCUUGAAUACUAGUAUCAAAAAAUCAUUUUAAAUUGCUAAAAAUAAAACGUUUUUUAUAUUUUUAAUUGAAAUAUUUGUGGAUCACAAAAGAACAUAUUUCAAUUGUUUGGUCUUAGCUGAUAUCUAUUUAGUUUAAAUGUAAAACUUGUAAUAAUGUCUUUAAUAACGAAAAUAUUUCCCCGAGAAGAAUCAUUCUUUAUGUUUUGACAUAUCCCUUCUCUCCAGUCCCUUUGUUCAUGGCUGGAUUUGUUUUGAAUUGUAAAUAUUCCACAAUAGUAGGAGUAAAGAUAUCCUGAUAAUUGUCAGAAAACAUUUCAAGAGGAUAAAUCUCUAUAGUUGACGUUUUUGAAAAUAUUCCAUCAGUCCACUAUUCAUAACAGAUUUUCCUCCAGUUUUAAAGACAUUUUUUUGAAAAUUUCCCAUCAGUCCACUAUUCAUAACAGAUUUUCCUCCAGUUUUAAAGACAAAUCAUAAAGCAAUUUUAAAUCAUGUGUAGUAAUAGUUAAAAUGUUAACGUUGCUUUUGUCAUAUAAACCACUUGUACUAUGUGUGUUCGGUGUGAGUUAAUGCUCCGUGUUGAAGGCCGUACUUACACCUGUUAUUGUUAACUUUUCAUUGUUUACUUGAUGACGUUUUGUUAUAUUUUACGUCGAUGAAAGGACAUAGAUUUGAGCCAAAAAUGGUCAUAGAUUUGAGACAAUAAAGGACAUAGAUGUGAGACUAUGUACAGGACAUAGAUUUGAGACAAUAAAGGACAUAGAUUUGGAACGUCUAUGACGCAAUAUUAAAAAGGACAUAGUUUUGCGGAAAGGACAUAGAUUUGAGGCCGGACAUAGAUUUGAGGCUUACAUAUAUGCGCUAUGAAAUUAGUUCUUUCAAACUAUCCAAACAAAUUUCAACCUUGCAUACCACUAUUCCUCAUGUGAAUUUGAAAAAUCGUCUAUAAGAAAUAAUCCACAAUUUUUUUCAACAUAAAACUUGUACCGAACGGGUAUUUUGUUAAUAGUGAAAAAACAAUGUGAAAAAUUCUGCACAAAGGAAGAAGUGAUUAGUUUUCUGGAGUUUCUAACUGACAACUUAUGUGUUGAUUUCGGAAUUAAAAUGUCGGUAUUCCUAUGGGAACUUUCCUGGUCGACCUCUUUUUAUAUCAUAUAAGUCAACGUUUUUUCAGACACUUGUAAAAAAAAAAACAAGAAUACCAAAGACUGCAGAUAUUUUAAUUUAACAUUCAGAUAUAUUAAUAAUGUUCUUUCAAUUAACAAUUCAAACUUUUCCGAUUGGGUUUCAUUAUACUCCAGAACUAGAAAUAAAAGACACAAAAGAAACCGCUUCCUCAUUUCAAGACUUAUAUCUAUAAUUUGACCUGAGCGAUUAUUUCAGUACCAACUAGACUAUUUUAAUUUCAAAAUUAUCAUUAUACCCUCACCUAAUAUACCAACUUACCCUGCAUGUGAAAUAUACAUUUUUCAACUCAUUCGGUAUUCAAGAACAUUUGUUAUGAUGAUACUAACACAUUGUUUAUAAUAUUCCGUAUCAACUACACAAAUAACAAAUGAUGGUCUUGAAGUUUAGAUUCUAUAUACUGGAGUUCCUUAUCAUCAUAAAAGCGUGUUAUAUAGAUUAUACCGUUGGUUUCACCGUUUGAAUGGCUUUACAUUAGUAAUUUUUUAUUCCCUUUAUAGCCUUUUCUCUUCGGUGUGAGCCAAGGCUCCGUGUCUUAUGCCGUACCUUGAUCUAUAAUGGUUUACGUAUAUAAAUUGCUACUUGGAUGGACAGUUGUCUCAUUGGAACUCAUACCACAUCUUCCUAUAUCUAUAUAGUAUUUUUUUACUUGUCUUUGUAAAUUAUUACUUUUACUGUUUUUUAACUAGUAGUCAGUAUGUCAGUGUUGACAUGCAUAUCAAUUAUAUGGUCAUUUUUUAAUUUUUCAAUUAACUGUUUGCAAAUGUAUGAAUUAUUCGAAAUACUAAGUAUUUUCUUAUCCCAGACAUAGAUUACCUUUACAAUAUUUGGCACAACUUUUUGGAAUUUUGUGUCCCCAAUGCUCUUCAACUCUACUUUUUUGGCUUUCAAACUUGUUUGAUUUGAGCGUCACUGACGAGUCUUAUGUAAAGCAACCAAGUAUCAAUCAAUCGACGGUAACUUUAAUUUUAUUUUGGUGAGUCAAAUGAUUUCAGUCUUUUUUGGCAGUCAAUGUCUCACCUUGAUUAAUAAACAUCAAUGCCAACAGGAAGUGGACAGUUAAUUUAAAAAUAUGAAUCGCAAAAUAGGUGUAGGUGACCAUUCUCCUGAUAGGUUACACACUGGCAAAAAGAUCAUGUCAAUGAAAAACUCAGAUUUUUGUAACGUUAUCACGGAAUAUUUCUAGUGCACAUUAAACUAAUAUAUUUAAAUUUUUUUUUUUAAACCUGCUCGUUAUAGGUUUAAUUAUCAGUAUCCAGUUACAGCAGGUCCUGAUUAAAACAAACAUUAUUCACAGAAUUAUAUAAAUGACUUCCUCUUAAAUACUUUUGUACAAAUUUAGGGAUGUUAUGGUUAAGACCCACUAUUUCUUUUAACUUUAUACGUUAAGCUUCUGUUAAAAUGUAAGAAUAAUAAUAAUUGGAUGAACUACAAGUAUAAAGUCUUGUUUAUAUUAACCAAUGUAGAAAAACAAUACAUAAAAUUCGGGAUGUCAAGUGUCUGUUAAAAACUUUGUCCAACAAAUGUAACAAGUUCGUUGUUAAAUGAAUAAAGCA
Molecule: long non-coding RNA, 3612 nt
Filed under: Mytilus galloprovincialis (Mediterranean mussel)
Lineage: Eukaryota; Metazoa; Mollusca; Bivalvia; Mytilida; Mytilidae
Source: RNAcentral